GCACUGCUGAGGAGUCCCACGAUAGGACGAAACGGCCGUUCAGUGC
This is a non-coding RNA of Schistosoma haematobium, 46 nucleotides long. The record is from Rfam. Lineage: Eukaryota; Metazoa; Platyhelminthes; Trematoda; Strigeidida; Schistosomatidae.